This 460-nucleotide ribosomal RNA is filed under the name uncultured bacterium. RNAcentral's name for it is "partial 16S ribosomal RNA". It matches the Rfam family "Bacterial small subunit ribosomal RNA", at positions 338 to 795 of the family's 1533-position model. The record is from RNAcentral.
CCUACGGGAGGCAGCAGUGAGGAAUAUUGGUCAAUGGACGAGAGUCUGAACCAGCCAAGUAGCGUGAAGGAUGACUGCCCUAUGGGUUGUAAACUUCUUUUAUAUGGGAAUAAAAUGUUCCACGUGUGGGAUUUUGUAUGUACCCUAUGAAUAAGGAUCGGCUAACUCCGUGCCAGCAGCCGCGGUAAUACGGAGGAUCCGAGCGUUAUCCGGAUUUAUUGGGUUUAAAGGGAGCGUAGGUGGAUUGUUAAGUCAGUUGUGAAAGUUUGCGGCUCAACCGUAAAAUUGCAGUUGAAACUGGCAGUCUUGAGUACAGUAGAGGCGGGCGGAAUUCGUGGUGUAGCGGUGAAAUGCUUAGAGAUCACGAAGAACCCCGAUUGCGAAGGCAGUUCACUGGACUGCAACUGACACUGAGGCUCGAAAGUGUGGGUAUCAAACAGGAUUAGAUACCCCUGUAGUC